RNAcentral lists this ribosomal RNA (465 nucleotides) under uncultured bacterium. RNAcentral's name for it is "partial 16S ribosomal RNA". It matches the Rfam family "Bacterial small subunit ribosomal RNA", at positions 28 to 507 of the family's 1533-position model. The record is from RNAcentral.
GACGAACGCUGGCGGCGUGCUUAACACAUGCAAGUCGAACGGAAAGGCCCCUUUGGGGGUCCUCGAGUGGCGAACGGGUGAGUAACACGUGAGUAACCUGCCCUUGACUUCGGGAUAACUUCAGGAAACUGGGGCUAAUACCAGAUAGGAAUCCUUGCUGCAUGGUGGGGGUUGGAAAGCUUCGGCGGUUUUGGAUGGACUCGCGGCUUAUCAGCUUGUUGGUGGGGUAGUGGCUUACCAAGGCUUUGACGGGUAGCCGGCCUGCGAGGGCGACCGGCCACAUUGAGACUGAGGUGCGGCCCAGGCUCCUACGGGAGGCAGCAGUGGGGAAGAUUGCACAAGGGGCGGAAGCCUGAUGCAGCAACGCCGCGUGCGGGAUGACGGCCUUCGGGUUGUAAACCGCUUUCAGCAGGGGCGAAGCUUGUGGUGACGGUACCUGCAGAAGAAGCACCGGCUAACUACGUG